This 465-nucleotide ribosomal RNA is filed under the name uncultured bacterium. Its description in RNAcentral is "bacterial SSU rRNA". It matches the Rfam family "Bacterial small subunit ribosomal RNA", at positions 335 to 794 of the family's 1533-position model. The record is from RNAcentral.
ACUCCUACGGGAGGCAGCAGUGGGGAAUAUUGCACAAUGGGGGAAACCCUGAUGCAGCCAUGCCGCGUGUGUGAAGAAGGCCUUCGGGUUGUAAAGCACUUUCAGUAGGGAGGAAGGUAGUGUAGUUAACACCUGCACUAUUUGACGUUACCUACAGAAGAAGCACCGGCUAACUCCGUGCCAGCAGCCGCGGUAAUACGGAGGGUGCGAGCGUUAAUCGGAAUUACUGGGCGUAAAGCGCAUGCAGGCGGCCUGUUAAGUCAGAUGUGAAAGCCCGGGGCUUAACCUCGGAAUUGCAUUUGAAACUGGCAGGCUAGAGUCUUGUAGAGGGGGUUAGAAUUUCAGGUGUAGCGGUGAAAUGCGUAGAGAUCUGAAGGAAUACCGAGUGGCGAAGGCGGCCCCUGGACAAAGACUGACGCUCAGAUGCGAAAGCGUGGGAGCAAACAGGAUUAGAUACCCCGUGGU